This 617-nucleotide ribosomal RNA is filed under the name Zetela sp. 2 LS-2013. Its description in RNAcentral is "partial 12S ribosomal RNA". The record is from RNAcentral. Lineage: Eukaryota; Metazoa; Mollusca; Gastropoda; Trochida; Solariellidae.
GACAAACAGGUCAAAUUAAAGUUGGUGUAGUAAAAAAGGAGGUUAUAUAUUUAUUUUGAGAAAUAAUGCUCUUUAGGGAGGUGGAAUUUAGAUAAAGAGAGGUAAUUUAUAUUUUUCUUUUUUUGAGGCCUCGAAAUUUUGUUAUAAAACCGGGAUUAGAUACCCCGUUAUUCAAAAUGUAAACUUUAAUUAUAUUUAUAAUUUACUUGAGUAUUACGAGUAUAAAAGAUGUGUUAUUUUUAUAUUUCUUAAAACUCAAAAAACUUGGCGGUGCCUUAUAUCCUUCCAGGGGAACCUGUCCUAUAAUCGAUAGUCCACGAUUUAACUUUCUUUCUUUUGAAUUUUAAUAUCAGCCUGUAUACCGUCGUCGUCGGGUUACUUUUAAGAACUAUGAAGUUAUCAGCGAGAAUAAAUAGAUUAAUUUAUGGAAAUAGUUAUGGAUUAAUUUAUAUAAUUCUAGACGUCAGAUCAAGGUGCAGCCUAUAGGGAAGUAGAGAUGGGUUACAAUAAUAAAUUAUUAUACGAAUUUUUGUUGUAAUAGCAAAAAUGAAGGUGGACUUGGAAGUAAUUGGUUUAAAGAUGAGAGAGCUUAAAUGAAAAUAGGCUCUGAGGUGCGC